RNAcentral lists this long non-coding RNA (1399 nucleotides) under Numida meleagris (helmeted guineafowl). RNAcentral's name for it is "lncRNA (ENSNMEG00000018237.1)". Lineage: Eukaryota; Metazoa; Chordata; Aves; Galliformes; Numididae. The record is from RNAcentral.
UUUCAGGUCGGCACCACCAAGAUGCCUGUCUGCCUUGGCUGAUGAGGAUAGCUACACACAAGGCAAGCUAUCUGAACCCAACAGCAAAGACCAUGUUUCCCCUUAAUGCACUGUGUUGUGGGAAGUGUUUACUGCUGCUGCUCUUACAGAGCAGAAAACCAGAGACCAUGUGGGUCCAAGUGGAGGUGCAGAGCCACGUGGAGGGUGGAUAAUUUGAGUUUUGGACACAGAGCAUCACGGGUGGUGCCUUGGCCAGCUGCGUGCUGAGGUCAGCCUGGACUUGGACAUCUUACUUUCUGCUCUUUGCCUUCUUUUGUCCCCCUGAGCACAAGAUCCUCUAUCACCCGUCCGGCACAAACAGAAGCAAAUCCAAAAAGUGUCAGCUGGGAUGCAGCAAGCGCACGAUGAGGAACAGCAGAAAGAAGAAUGACCCCACGCUGCUGUUACAAGCAGCUUCCUGAAAGCAGCUUGCGGCCAGGAAAAUCGCUGGAUGAAAUCCCUCAGAGGAGAAAGUCCAGGGAUUGGAGUCACGCUGCAGCACUCCAGCCUGCGACAGAGGGACAAAAGGGGAAGGACAGACAAACACCUAUCCAACACCUACUCCAGAAGGCAGCACAAAGAAGAGGAUGUAAAGCAGGACAAACAAGAGUGGCUUGUGCAAGAACUCCUGUAUUAGAAUUGAGUUUGUAAGUAAAGUAAAAUAGCAAACAGAGUUUAGAGGAGCGUUUUGUUUCUUCCUGGAAGCACAAGCAGAGGAGGGGAAGGCCAGCGACGUUCCAGGAGGGCAGCAUCUAGCAGCACGCCUGCGCUGAGCAAGCUGGGACGCGGAGCUGUGCCAAGCUAUUUUUACUUCUGCUCCAGUCCCGCAGCCACGCUGGCAGAUGUGCUCCCAGCUGCAGAUGACUUCCAUGUGUAACCCUGCACUGGCUAGGGGCCCAGGGCGUAGUGUGCUUCCUUAAAAGGCCCGGGAGAGCAAGGCGAUGCCCAAUCCCAGGGGCGGCUGGCCACAGGGGCCCCAAGCCGCCCUCUGCCCUCGGGAAAGCCCAGAGUGGGCCUUCACAGCAUGACAUGGGGUCGUUGGGAGCAGUGAGGGGGAAAGGGUGCUGCAGCAGGUGGGAAGGAUGAUUCACAGGUCGCUGUAACCUCCUGCUCCCACCUAAAAGGAGAGGCUGCAGAGGAAGCAGUGUGUUGGAGCAUGGGAUGGGUCCAGUUUGCAUGCAGGCAACGUUUGUAACCCCUGAAAGCGAAAAAGGGGGCUUUCAGCAUGCCCCGUGCACGCUGGAAUGCAGGGCAGGCUGCUCUGUCCUCCAGGCAGCUACAGUUCAGUGCAGACAAUAUGAGAAACAACGAUAAUAAUAAGUGCAAUAAAAAGUCAAUUCCCUGUUCCCUCCUUCUCUAA